Molecule: long non-coding RNA, 1149 nt
Filed under: Cyanistes caeruleus (blue tit)
Lineage: Eukaryota; Metazoa; Chordata; Aves; Passeriformes; Paridae
Description: lncRNA (ENSCCEG00000019696.1)
Source: RNAcentral
AGAAUGGGUUCUGAUCUGUCUUUUACAGCUGCUAAAAUAAACCCCCAGACCUAAACAACCCCACAUCUUCUCAUAUUCAGUCUUUAAUGCUGAGGCUCGAAUCCACAUUUAUUCAUUAACUCCAACACAUUAACAACAGUUUAAUUAGAAACCCCCCUUCUGAUGUGGAAGAAAUCAAGGAUAUCAGAGUGUUUCCAAAGCCUUCAGCAUCCUCCUUCCCACCAAGAGAGGGAAAUUUUGUUACAUAAAACCCAUUGCAGUGCUUCUCUCUGAGCUUCACCUCUGCCUGUCUCCAGCUGGAUGCUCAGAGGAGUUGCUGGGUAAUUUACUCAGUCAAACAUGCAUUUAAAGCUUCAGUUUCUUCCUUGAGGUAGAGCCCACUCAUUCUGGAUUUCACAGAAAAACAAUAGAGAACUGAAGGUAUAAAAUUGAGUGCUUAAAAAUGUCUGUUUAACCAGUCCUGGUUAACUCUGUCCACAUCUCUGCAAUCCUUUAAAUUCACAGAAACGUGGUGGAGUUAAUGAAUGGAAUUGUAUUUUUUGUCAUCCUUCUUAAGAAACUUUGUCCUCCAGGAGAAACUGAAGCAGUGCUAGGAGCUGUGUGAAACCGAAUUUCUGGAUAUUUUUUAUGGAUGUAUCAUAAAAGGCUCUCCUCAGCCACCUGAAAACGUUCAGCAAGAUCAGCCUCAACAUUUGGCUCCUCUCUUUUGAUUCAUGAAAGGAGAAAAGCUGCCCUGGCUCCCUGGGAUGGAUGAGGGUUGUGCAGGGAUGAAAUGCUCCAGAGCAUCGUUAUCACAGUGAAAUAUUGGGAGUUGUGUUGGUGGGAGGAAUUAGUUUUGUUUAUUUACCAGCACCCCCGAAGAAUGUGAGGCUAUUUGUUGUAUUAGCUGUGCUCGUCACGAAGAAACAAUUCUGCUGUGAUAAACCUGAAGCCAUUGUUUUAAAAGAUGGGCUGGACCUGCUUUUCAGAGGGGGAGAAUUUUAAUUGCUCAGACACUGAGAGACAAAAAAGGAAGCUCUGCCUGUCAGAGCAGAGUGAGAAAUGUUUUCAGAGCACUCAGUGACCUCCCCACAUCUGGAAUUAACCCCUGGAGAACCAGCCUGAGCCACCACCAUCACUCACCUCAGAAAAACUCCAGGCCUUUUUCUC